Molecule: ribosomal RNA, 272 nt
Filed under: uncultured prokaryote
Description: partial 16S ribosomal RNA
Rfam family: Bacterial small subunit ribosomal RNA
Source: RNAcentral
GUGUCAGCCGCCGCGGUAAUACGUAGGUGGCAAGCGUUGUCCGGAAUUAUUGGGCAUAAAGGGCUCGCAGGCGGUUUCUUAAGUCUGAUGUGAAAGCCCCCGGCUCAACCGGGGAGGGUCAUUGGAAACUGGGGAACUUGAGUGCAGAAGAGGAGAGUGGAAUUCCACGUGUAGCGGUGAAAUGCGUAGAGAUGUGGAGGAACACCAGUGGCGAAGGCGACUCUCUGGUCUGUAACUGACGCUGAGGAGCGAAAGCGUGGGGAGCGAACAUG